Chelonus insularis is the source of this 410-nucleotide long non-coding RNA. RefSeq lists it as uncharacterized. Lineage: Eukaryota; Metazoa; Arthropoda; Insecta; Hymenoptera; Braconidae. The record is from RefSeq and is a predicted model, not a curated record. The transcript is spliced from 3 exons.
AUUUUAUUAGCAAUAUGAAAAAAUGAAUUUAAAUAUUGACAAGCAAUUGAAUAAUACCAGAAGCACUUCAAUGCCAUAACUGCGCUUACUGUAAUGAACUAGGAAAUAAUACCGAAGUAGAAAACUGUACUUUCAUUUCGCCAAUCUGUCAAAAAAUUGAGUUUAUAUUAUCAAAUGGCACUGAGGGCGUCAUACUCCGCAGUUGCACAGGACAAUAUUUUGUAUCAGAAGAACGAAGAUAUUUUCAGUAUUCUAUAAAAAAUGAUAUUAAAGAUGAUGCACCUGUAAAUACACUACAUUAUUAUUUUUGUUCUAAUAAUUUAUGUAAUCAAGCUCAAAAGACUAAACUGAAUCUACUACCAAUUAUGUCUGGAUUAUUUUCAUUUACUAUUCAAUGGAUGUUUAAUUGA